RNAcentral lists this ribosomal RNA (484 nucleotides) under uncultured bacterium. Its description in RNAcentral is "partial 16S ribosomal RNA". It matches the Rfam family "Bacterial small subunit ribosomal RNA", at positions 28 to 523 of the family's 1533-position model. The record is from RNAcentral.
GAUGAACGCUGGCGGCGUGCUUAACACAUGCAAGUCGAACGGUGAAGCAGGAGCUUGCUCUUGUGGAUCAGUGGCGAACGGGUGAGUAACACGUGAGCAACCUGCCCCUGACUCUGGGAUAAGCGCUGGAAACGGCGUCUAAUACUGGAUAUGUGAUGUGACCGCAUGGUCUGCAUCUGGAAAGAAUUUCGGUUGGGGAUGGGCUCGCGGCCUAUCAGCUUGUUGGUGAGGUAAUGGCUCACCAAGGCGUCGACGGGUAGCCGGCCUGAGAGGGUGACGGGCCAAACUGGGACUGAGACACGGCCCAGACUCCUACGGGGGGCAGCGGGGGGGAAUAUGGAACAAGGGGCGGAGGCCGGAGCCGGCAAGGCCGCGUGAGGGAUGACGGCCUUCGGGUUGUAAACCUCUUUUAGCAGGAAAGAAGCGAAAGUGACGGUACCUGCAGAAAAAGCACCGGCUAACUACGUGCCAGCCGCCGCGGUAA